CUCGCCUACAUGAAGCUGGAAUUGCUAGUAAUCACAGGUCAGCAUACUGUGGUGAAUACGUUCCCGGGCCUUGUACACACCGCCCGUCACACCAUGAGAGUUGAGAAUACCCGAAGUCCAUGUCAAAGUGGCCGAAGGUAGGCUUGAUGAUUGGGGUGAAGUCGUAACAAGGUACC
This 176-nucleotide ribosomal RNA is filed under the name uncultured bacterium. Its description in RNAcentral is "partial 16S ribosomal RNA". It matches the Rfam family "Bacterial small subunit ribosomal RNA", at positions 1311 to 1500 of the family's 1533-position model. The record is from RNAcentral.